RNAcentral lists this long non-coding RNA (235 nucleotides) under Gallus gallus (chicken). The record is from RNAcentral. Lineage: Eukaryota; Metazoa; Chordata; Aves; Galliformes; Phasianidae.
GGCAACUUGACUAACCAGGUUCAUAAAUUAAUUUCUAUCCCUCUUGUAAGGGAGAAAUCAGCUGCUCCUCGAGGAGAUCCGUCUCCAUCGCUCGUCCGGCUGCAUCCCUUCAUAAAUCUUCCCCAAAAAAACAUCAGCACCUUCUCAGGCUGCCAUCUGUUUAUUUGGUUGGACUUGGAACUUGCUGAAAUGUCUUUCGAUGGAUGAAGCAACGGAGAGUAGAAGAACAGAGCCU